GUCCUCGUAGCUCAGUUGGAUAGAGCGACCGCCUCCUAAGCGGUAGGUCGGAGGUUCGAAUCCUCUCGUGGACG
Molecule: transfer RNA, 74 nt
Filed under: Vagococcus fluvialis bH819
Lineage: Bacteria; Bacillati; Bacillota; Bacilli; Lactobacillales; Enterococcaceae
Also listed under: 1 other name
Description: tRNA-Arg-CCT
Rfam family: tRNA
About the family: Transfer RNA (tRNA) molecules are approximately 80 nucleotides in length.
Source: RNAcentral